This 491-nucleotide ribosomal RNA is filed under the name uncultured bacterium. Its description in RNAcentral is "bacterial SSU rRNA". It matches the Rfam family "Bacterial small subunit ribosomal RNA", at positions 28 to 526 of the family's 1533-position model. The record is from RNAcentral.
GACGAACGCUGGCGGCGCGCCUAACACAUGCAAGUCGAACGAGGUCUUUUAGGAAGCUUGCUUCUUGGCUGACCUAGUGGCGGACGGGUGAGUAACACGUGAGCAACCUGCCGGGGAGUGGGGGAUAACGUCUGGAAACGGACGCUAAUACCGCAUAACAUAUCGGGAUGGCAUCAUCCUGGUAUCAAAGGAGAAAUCCGCUCUUUGAUGGGCUCGCGGCCGAUUAGGUAGUUGGUGGGGUAAAGGCCCACCAAGCCGACGAUCGGUAGCCGGACUGAGAGGUUGAUCGGCCACAUUGGGACUGAGACACGGCCCAGACUCCUACGGGAGGCAGCAGUGGGGAAUAUUGCACAAUGGGGGAAACCCUGAUGCAGCGACGCCGCGUGAGUGAAGACGGCCUUCGGGUUGUAAAGCUCUGUUGACGGGAACGAUAAUGACGGUACCCGUUCAGAAAGCCACGGCUAACUACGUGCCAGCCGCCGCCGUAAUAC